CAGAAAUGUACCACUGGCCAAACAUGAGCAAUUAAAUUAAAGAACGUAUCAGCCAUUGCGGUGCUUUUAACAACUACCAAGCUAAACAAGCUAGAGAACUGUUGAUGAAACAUGACAUCCCAGACAGACCAUGGAUGAAGCUCUUCAUUAUGGCAUUAUGGUGAAGGCCUCUUCACUAUAGCAGGAACUGGUUAUCUUGUUACUGUACACCACUAUUCUGACUACUGGGAGGUAGACCAGCUGACUUCAACAACAACAGGAGGGAUAGUGGAAUACUUGAAAGUACAUUUAAUUUGUUACGGCAUUCCAAACAUUGUGAUGAGUGGCAAUGGCCCUCAGUUCACAAGUGAAGAAUUCAACCACUUCUCAAAGGAUUGAGAAAUUCAGCACUAUACAUCAUCCCUGCACUAUCCCCAAUCGAAUGGAAAAGCUGAGGCGGCAGUGAAUAUUGCCAAAGGAAUCAUCAAGAAAUCUAGCACAGAUGUAUGCAAGGCAAUUUUAAGUGGAGAAACACACCAAUUGAAGGCAUGGAAAGUAGUCCAGUCCAAAGACUAAUGUCAUGUCACACCCAAACUACUCUUCCAAUAGCAUAAAAGCUACUGAAGCCAAAGUUGUAACAGUCAUGAGUGAAAAAAAUCAAGGUGGAUCAGCAGAAAGCUAAAUUUCAUUUUGACAAGACUGCCAAGCCAGGGUUAAACAUUGGUGAGCCCACCAAGGUACAAACCUUAAAUGCUCUUAACAGGACUCAGUAGAACAUGUGUAGAGCAGUUGUCACCUCAAUCAAGCAUUGUGGAAGUGAACAACCAAAUAUACUGUCGCAACCACAGGCAUACACAAACAACUAGAGAAGCUGUUCCUUCAUUGUAGGUGGCCGAUCAGGAAGAUGGGAUCUCGCCAGCUGCAGAGAGUACAAAAUAGCCAUCACCUCCAGAGGUCCACCGGUACCCAACAAUAGAAAUGGAACAACAACAACAGUUACAACUGCAACAAGUACCAUGGGAACAACAGUCCCCACAGAAGGAACAUCAUCCUACCAUUAAGAGACUUGCACAAUUUAACAACUAUGUGUUCAAUGCAAGUGCAGAGUCUGACAAGAAUAAUAAACAGUUUGUUAAUGCAUGAUAAAAAAUGUGGUGUAGUCAGAAACUCACAGUUACACAUGAUAGUGCAUGCAAAGUUGUCUGUUGUUUGUUGUGGAAAGGGGGAUGUUUGAGUUUUGAAAUGUAAUAAUUACUAAAUGUCCUACCUGGCUUACCAUGGUCAUGUGACAUCUGUCAUGAGGGGAUGUCUGAGGCAGCCAUUAUACAUUCAGUGCAAUAAAGCAUUACAUUGGAAAGACUGCAGUCUUUGAGCUCAUAACAACCAUAGUGAGGUGCCAUGCCCUAAGAGGAUGUUGGUGACCAUUGCAUUGGUCCAUGAUUAUGCUGGAAAAGUGUUGGAGUUAUUUGCCAUUUCCUCCUGCAGUAUGGCUGACUGGGAAACGCUCCCGCUCUUACCACCUGUCAUGAUGGUGAAGAAUCAACUUGACUGGCCACAUUAUGUGGUCAUCAAGUUAUGAAAUGGGACCCAGAGCUUCUGGCUGAGCGUUAGGGAUGCUACCACUAUGCCACAAGACUCCACAGAAAUUGCAAUCUGUUGUGAAAUCAGUUAAAGAACAAGAAAGGAACAAAAUUCAUCAAUCAGAAUUUUACCAGACUUUUUGGAGCAAGUUUGGAAUGGAAGGUUGCAGUCAGAUGCAUGUCUGAUAACAAUCUCUGACACAUGGGAGCAGACGGUGUUUGAUCAGAAAUCUGAUGUUUUGAUGUCCCUUCCAGAUUUUACCAACACAAGUAAUCAUAGAGGGCAUUCUUCAGACAUCAAUUAAGGAAGGCUCAUCAAAUUAAGUCCUAAUGAGGCCGCUCCCAGGAUCAAGGACCCCGGGGUCAGAAAUCCCACCUGCUGAGAGCUGCCACCAAUCAAAGGCUGGAAGCACUUCGAUGCUCGACAGAGCCACUGAGGAAGUGGUGGCUGCUGCCAGUAGUAUACCAACCUGAGGCCCAGAUUGGCUGACACAGAUGGACCCAGGCACAGAACAGAGUAAAAACAACUGCUGGUGACCCCAAGGAAAUCUUAUACUGCAGAACACUCUACAUCCCAAGCAAUAACUGGCAGUUAACCUACAUGGUUACACGCACGCACCCUGAACAAAGUACAAAAUGAGUAAUAGUGGCUGGGGGAGAAGAACAAGUGGUUUCACUUACAUAAAAUGAGAUAGCAGCAGAUCAGAGAUUACAGUAAGUAUAGCUCAGCUCUGGUUCAGUUCAGGCUCUGCUCCAGAGAUUAAAACACACUUGAUCUUUUUUAAUGAGCUAAUCUUUCCCUCAAAUUUGUGCUAACAUUUUGUAAUCUAAUUUUCCCACAGAAAGCCUUAAAAAAUUCAUAGCUUCUGCUUAUAAACAAAUAUUGCUGUCAGAGGAUCUUGUCCAAGAUUGCACCUUACACAGCGAGGUCUAGCAAGGCAACCACGACUUAGUUGUACAGUUUCGAGCAGUUGACUACACUGCAGUCUGUAAUGGUGUAAAUGGCAAUUCCUGUGGUGUACAGCAUAACUCGCAGGCACAAAUUUCAAAACAGAGUGGAAGCACCCUUCAUGAAUGCUCAUGCUGCUGCUAAGAAAUACCAGACUUAAUGAUGCACCUUAGUUAACAUAUCAAAUUCAGACCUGCCAGGGAAAAUUCCUCAGAUUCAGUAGCAUCAGUUACCUAAGAGAGUGAUCUGAGCAUUAUUCCUAUAUCAACCUGUACAUGAGAAUGAUUUGGAGUUGUAACAAGGAAGGAGAAAUUCAAUUACAGCCAUUCAUUUUGCUCCUCCUUGACGACAGACCAAGGAAAACACUCGAGAGACAAUGCAUGCGAAAAAUUAUUGAAGAGAAUGGUAGUGAAGUGGGAAUGUUACCGGACUAGUAACCAGAGGUUCAGACUAAGGCUCCAGAGACACAAGUUCAAAUCCCACCGUAGUAGCUCAGGGACUUAAAUUCAAUGCAUUUUAAAAAUCUGCAAUCAAAAAUUCGACUCACUAGGAAGAAGCACUGAAGGUAGAAGAGGCAAAGAAUGUACCCAGAAUGAGAGACUUUAAUGCCCAUCACCAAGACUGACUCAAUAGCACCAUGAGUGACCAAGCUGGCAGAUCCCUGAAGGGCAUAUCUGGCUGACAGGUGAUGAGAGAACCAACAAAAACCUACUUAAAUACAAAUUAGCAAUAGGCCCUUUGUGCCCACUCUGCCAUUCAAUAAGAUCAUGAUGAUCUGACUAAUCUCAGCCCCACAUUCCCACCUAUCCCUCGAUAACCUUUCAACCCCUUUCUUAUGAAGAACCUAUCUAGCUCUGCCUUAAAAAUAUUCAAAAAUUUGCUUCCACUGCCUUUUGAGGAAGAAAGUUCCAAAAACUCACAAUCAUCUGAGAAAAAAAAUUUAUCCUCAUCUUUGUGAUUCUUAGUAGCAGAUUCUCCCACAACAGGAAACAUCCUCUUCACAUCCACCCUGUCA
Molecule: long non-coding RNA, 3523 nt
Organism: Carcharodon carcharias (great white shark)
Lineage: Eukaryota; Metazoa; Chordata; Chondrichthyes; Lamniformes; Lamnidae
Exons: 5
Source: RefSeq, a predicted model, not a curated record